This 458-nucleotide ribosomal RNA is filed under the name Macrostomion sp. BCLDQ01250. RNAcentral's name for it is "eukaryotic LSU rRNA". Lineage: Eukaryota; Metazoa; Arthropoda; Insecta; Hymenoptera; Braconidae. The record is from RNAcentral.
CCUGAGAAACCCAAAAGAUCGAAUGAGGAGAUUCAUCGUCAGCUCAUUUUGUAUAUAUAUAUGUUUAUGAUAUGGGUUAUUAACUUGUUAAUAUUGCCUGUACAUUCAUAUAUAUUUAAUUGCAAGAUGUUGUCGGCGUGCACUUCUUCUCUAGUAGAACAUCGCGACCCGUUGGAUGUUGAUUUUUAUGACCUAAGUGGAUAAGUCUUUAAUAUUUUCAUUAGAUUAUAUUAAAGUCCCUUGGUGUUUUCUAAUUAACUGUCCGGCGGUACACAAGAACGGUAUUGAGCCGCAAAAAAAAUUAAUUUUGCGUUUAUACCCGUCGCAAGCGAGGCUAAUUUACUAAUAGUAUGGACUUAGUGCUGUCGUUGGUAUUAGCCAGCUGUUGGUUGUUACGGUGUUCUAAAACAGGCUUAUUAUUACCGGUCAGCGAUGCUAUUGCUUUGGGUACUUUCAGG